UAAGACGAACCGUACGAACGUUAUUCGGAAUCACUGGGCUUAAAGGGUGCGUAGGCGGCGCAGAAAGUUGGGUGUGAAAGCCCUCGGCUCAACCGAGGAAUUGCGCUCAAAACUACUGUGCUUGAGGGAGAUAGAGGUGAGUGGAACUAAGGGUGGAGCGGUGAAAUGCGUUGAUAUCCUUAGGAACACCGGUGGCGAAAGCGACUCACUGGAUCUCUUCUGACGCUGAGGCACGAAAGCUAGGGUAGCGAACGGG
This 256-nucleotide ribosomal RNA is filed under the name uncultured bacterium. RNAcentral's name for it is "partial 16S ribosomal RNA". It matches the Rfam family "Bacterial small subunit ribosomal RNA", at positions 521 to 776 of the family's 1533-position model. The record is from RNAcentral.